CCCAAUUGAAGCCUCAAUCACCGAUAUCAUCAGAAACGAAGAUACUGAACGCAUAUGUCAUUGUCUUCAUUAAAGAGCCAUAGAUACUGAACAUUUUACAAAGACAGCAACACAUCCAGGCAUCAUCACCUAGUAUCUCUGAGCACCGUGGGAAUCACACAAUCACCAGUCAAGUCACAAAGACAAAUCCCA
Molecule: long non-coding RNA, 192 nt
Organism: Rhodamnia argentea
Lineage: Eukaryota; Viridiplantae; Streptophyta; Magnoliopsida; Myrtales; Myrtaceae
Exons: 2
Source: RefSeq, a predicted model, not a curated record